GCCAUGCAUGUCUCAGUGCAAGCCACACUAAGGUGAAACCGCAAAUGGCUCAUUAAAUCAGUUAUGAUUUAUUAGAUGAUACAUUAUAUUACUUGGAUAACUGUGGCAAUUCUAGAGCUAAUACAUGCAAACAGAGUUCCUGCUUUUAAUGGCAGGAACGCUUUUAUUAGAUCAAAACCAAUACGUUAGUUUCGGCUAACGAUAUCAUUGGUGACUCUGAAUAACUUUUUGAUGAUCGCAUAGUCUUGUACUAGCGACAAAUCUUUCAAAUGUCUGACUUAUCAACUGUCGAUGGUAGGCUUUACGCCUACCAUGGUUGUAACGGGUAACGGGGAAUCAGGGUUCGAUUCCGGAGAGGGAGCCUGAGAAACGGCUACCACAUCCAAGGAAGGCAGCAGGCGCGCAAAUUACCCACUCCCAGCACGGGGAGGUAGUGACGAAAAAUAACGAUACGGGACUCAUCCGAGGCCCCGUAAUCGGAAUGAGCACACUUUAAAUACUUUAACAAGUAUCCAUUGGAGGGCAAGUCUGGUGCCAGCAGCUGCGGUAAUUCCAGCUCCAAUAGCGUAUAUUAAAGUUGUUGCGGUAAAAAGCUCGUAGUUGAAGUGGAUUCGCACUGGGUGCACCAAUUGUGGUUUUCUGAACCAGAGGUAAUGAUUGAUAGGAACGGACGGGGGCAUUCGUAUUGAGACGUUAGAGGUGAAAUUCUUGGAUCGUCUCAAGACGGACAGAAGCGAAAGCAUUUGCCAAGAACGUUUUCAUUAAUCAAGAACGAAAGUUAGAGGUUCGAAGGCGAUCAGAUACCGCCCUAGUUCUAACCAUAAACGAUGCCAGCCAGCGAUCCGCUGAAGUUCCUCCGAUGACUUAGCGGGCAGCUUACGGGAAACCAAA
Molecule: ribosomal RNA, 891 nt
Filed under: Elaunon bipartitus
Lineage: Eukaryota; Metazoa; Arthropoda; Insecta; Dermaptera; Forficulidae
Description: bacterial SSU rRNA
Rfam family: Eukaryotic small subunit ribosomal RNA
Source: RNAcentral